RNAcentral lists this ribosomal RNA (225 nucleotides) under Rhodosorus marinus. RNAcentral describes it as "partial Bacterial large subunit ribosomal RNA". It matches the Rfam family "Bacterial large subunit ribosomal RNA", at positions 1123 to 1353 of the family's 2925-position model. The record is from RNAcentral. Lineage: Eukaryota; Rhodophyta; Stylonematophyceae; Stylonematales; Stylonemataceae.
UGAAAGAGUGCGUAAUAGCUCACUGGUCAAGUGAUUCCGCGCCGAUAAUGUAGCGGGGCUUAAGUUAUCCGCCGAAGCUGUGGCAACCUGUGUGGUUGGGUAGGGGAGCGUCGUGUCAGUGGUGAAGCUGCCGGGUGACUGUGUGGUGGAGUUGAUGCGAGUGAGAAUGCAGGCAUGAGUAGCGAAAGACGGGUGAGAAACCCGUCCUCCGAAUGAUCAAGGGUU